Molecule: long non-coding RNA, 469 nt
Organism: Mesocricetus auratus (golden hamster)
Lineage: Eukaryota; Metazoa; Chordata; Mammalia; Rodentia; Cricetidae
Exons: 4
Source: RefSeq, a predicted model, not a curated record
GCACAGUGAUUGCUGGCUGAUUUUUUCCUUGCUUCUUCCCCAUCCUGAGCUGUUUAUGUCCUUGUGCCUCUCUUCACAAACCUGCUGAGGAAGAGAAAGGCAACACUUGGCUCCAAUCAAGGCUCCUAAAGUACUUGAAGAGGCUGAGUUAAAAGGUAAUGGAUUAAAAGAAGACGGCAGAAACAGAAGUUUACUGAUUGGAUUAUGAGUGUCCAAUAUUUGAGGUCCUGUGCACCCUUUAAUUUGGGCAGCAAAGGAGUCAGUAGAAGGGAAUUCUCUUGAGCUCGAGGAAGCCAUGAUGAUAUAAUUUGAGAUUAUGGGAGCUGUAGGUGCAAAUGUUUAAUCUCCCACUUAUUGAGCUCUUUUCACCUUUUUGUAAGCUUCUGUCCAUCUGUACCGUACAUGAUACAAAAACCUAUGUAUGCACAAGAGGAUGUAAGGACAAUUUGGAUAAAGAAAUCUUUUUGUU